UAGGCCUACGGGGCGCAGCAGUGAGGAAUAUUGGUCAAUGGCCGCAGGGCUGAACCAGCCAAGUCGCGUGAGGGAUGACGGUCCUAUGGAUUGUAAACCUCUUUUGUCAGGGAGCAAAGGGCGCCACGUGUGGCGUUUUGCGAGUACCUGAAGAAAAAGCAUCGGCUAACUCCGUGCCAGCAGCCGCGGUAAUACGGAGGAUGCGAGCGUUAUCCGGAUUUACUGGGUGUAAAGGGAGCGUAGGCGGCCUGGCAAGCCUGAUGUGAAAUACCGGGGCCCAACCCCGGGGCUGCAUUGGGAACUGC
RNAcentral lists this ribosomal RNA (305 nucleotides) under uncultured bacterium. Its description in RNAcentral is "bacterial SSU rRNA". It matches the Rfam family "Bacterial small subunit ribosomal RNA", at positions 334 to 636 of the family's 1533-position model. The record is from RNAcentral.